RNAcentral lists this long non-coding RNA (298 nucleotides) under Trifolium pratense (red clover). RNAcentral describes it as "long non-coding RNA (TPRA_LNC005034)". The record is from RNAcentral. Lineage: Eukaryota; Viridiplantae; Streptophyta; Magnoliopsida; Fabales; Fabaceae.
UCAAUUUAGGGACAUCGAGCGACAUAAGCUCAAUUUAAGGACACCGAGGGACAUAAGCUCAAUUUAGGGACACCGAGGGACAUAAGCUCAAUUUAGGGACGCCGAGGGUCAUAUGCUUAAUUUGGACAUCAAGGGACAAAAGUUCAAUUUAGGGACACCGAGGGACAUAAGCUCAAUUUAAGGACACCGAGGGACAUAAACUCAAAUUUGGGACAUCGAGGGACAUACGCUCAAUUUAGGGACCGCGAGGGACAUAAGCUCAAUUUAGGGACAUCGAGGGACAUAAGUUCAAUUUAGG